RNAcentral lists this ribosomal RNA (384 nucleotides) under uncultured bacterium. RNAcentral's name for it is "bacterial SSU rRNA". It matches the Rfam family "Bacterial small subunit ribosomal RNA", at positions 969 to 1375 of the family's 1533-position model. The record is from RNAcentral.
CCUUACCAACCCUUGACAUCCCGGGACCGGCCCAGAGAUGGGUCUUUCACUUCGGUGACUCGGUGACAGGUGCUGCAUGGCUGUCGUCAGCUCGUGUCGUGAGAUGUUCGGUUAAGUCCGGCAACGAGCGCAACCCACGUCUUUAGUUGCCAGCAGUUCGGCUGGGCACUCUAAAGAAACUGCCCGUGAUAAGCGGGAGGAAGGUGUGGAUGACGUCAAGUCCUCAUGGCCCUUACGGGUUGGGCUACACACGUGCUACAAUGGUGUCUACAGUGGGUUAAUCUCCAAAAGACAUCUCAGUUCGGAUUGGGGUCUGCAACUCGACCCCAUGAAGUCGGAAUCGCUAGUAAUCGCGUAACAGCAUGACGCGGUGAAUACGUUCCC